RNAcentral lists this ribosomal RNA (501 nucleotides) under uncultured bacterium. RNAcentral's name for it is "bacterial SSU rRNA". It matches the Rfam family "Bacterial small subunit ribosomal RNA", at positions 29 to 524 of the family's 1533-position model. The record is from RNAcentral.
AUUGAACGCUGGCGGCAUGCCUUACACAUGCAAGUCGAACGGCAGCGGACCUUCGGGUGCCGGCGAGUGGCGAACGGGUGAGUAAUGCAUCGGAACGUGCCAUUGAGUGGGGGAUAACGCAGCGAAAGCUGUGCUAAUACCGCAUACGAUCUACGGAUGAAAGCGGGGGACUCGCAAGGGCCUCGCGCGGACGGAGCGGCCGAUGGCAGAUUAGGUAGUUGGUGGGAUAAAAGCUUACCAAGCCGACGAUCUGUAGCUGGUCUGAGAGGACGACCAGCCACACUGGGACUGAGACACGGCCCAGACUCCUACGGGAGGCAGCAGUGGGGAAUUUUGGACAAUGGGCGCAAGCCUGAUCCAGCCAUGCCGCGUGCGGGAUGAAGGCCUUUGGGUUGUAAACUGCUUUUGUACGGAACGAAAAAGCCUUCUCUAAUAAAGGGGGUGAAUGACGGUACCGUAAGAAUAAGCACCGGCUAACUACGUGCCAGCAGCCGCGGUAAU